RNAcentral lists this ribosomal RNA (487 nucleotides) under uncultured bacterium. Its description in RNAcentral is "partial 16S ribosomal RNA". It matches the Rfam family "Bacterial small subunit ribosomal RNA", at positions 28 to 507 of the family's 1533-position model. The record is from RNAcentral.
GAUGAACGCUAGCGAUAGGCUUAACACAUGCAAGUCGAGGGGCAGCACAAGGUAGCUUGCUAUCUGGGUGGCGACCGGCGCACGGGUGCGUAACGCGUAUGCAACUUGCCCUAUACAGGAGGAUAACCCGUCGAAAGACGGACUAAUACUGCGUAUGCUCACAACUUGGCAUCAAGUGGUGAGGAAAGAAAUUCGGUAUAGGAUAGGCAUGCGUCCCAUUAGCUUGUUGGUGAGGUAACGGCUCACCAAGGCAACGAUGGGUAGGGGAACUGAGAGGUUUAUCCCCCACACUGGUACUGAGACACGGACCAGACUCCUACGGGAGGAAGCAGUGAGGAAUAUUGGUCAAUGGGCGCGAGCCUGAACCAGCAAAGUCGCGUGAAGGAUGACUGUCUUAUGGAUUGUAACCUUCUUUUAUACGGGAAUAACAAGAGUCACGUGUGACUCCCUGAAUGUACCGUAUGAAUAAGCAUCGGCUAACUCCGUG